Small nucleolar RNA from Alnus glutinosa, 106 nucleotides. The record is from RefSeq and is a predicted model, not a curated record. Lineage: Eukaryota; Viridiplantae; Streptophyta; Magnoliopsida; Fagales; Betulaceae.
AGGUUAUGAUGUGGGUAUUUGAGAAGUAGCUCAUUGAAGUGCUCCCAUGCCUCAAAGAAUAAGUCUCCAUCUUUUUGUUGGAAGGUGAAUUUUCCUCCUUAAUUGC